Molecule: long non-coding RNA, 3756 nt
Filed under: Homo sapiens (human)
Lineage: Eukaryota; Metazoa; Chordata; Mammalia; Primates; Hominidae
Description: non-protein coding LINC01058:7
Source: RNAcentral
GCGGCGCUCGCGAAACCCGAAGACUUGCAGGGUAAGAACUGAAGCCACCAAAAGGCUUACUAUACCACACAACACCCAAGCCUUCCUUUGGGGCAUGGGGACAGUGGAUCUAUGGCUCCUCAGGGUGCCAACCAAUUGAAGAAGGAAGCCAGCUCCACUCAACAGCUUCUACAAAGGAAGGGCCACAGGAGAGGGGCUUCAGUGGUUCCAGGCAGCUGCUUCAUUCACAACAGAAUGGCCAUUUUCUCCAGCAUGGCCAACUAUCCCUAGUCUUUUUGUCAUGACAGCCUAGAAGGCAGAAGCUAGGGCCAAGGCGGCUGCUAAGGAAUUCCUACUCCUACUGGGGCCUAAUGUCAGGCUUUCCUUAUAUUGUGGAGUGGGCCCUGGAAGAUAGUUAGAGACCCUUCCUGCUGGGCACCCUGAAGAGGAGCAAGAGGAUCUGGUGAGCAAAAUGAAGCAAAAGUGCAGUGCUGGAGCUGACAGCCCUGUUCCCUACUGCACGCAGUUGGCUCAGGGCUGUCCCCCACUUUGGAGCUUCUUGCCACUCACGGGCUACCCUGCACACACUACUUACUGCCCAGGCCUGUCUGCCACCACAGUACCCUGUGCCUGAGACCUUUCCUGGCCUCUGCUGGAUCCCAGGCCUAGUAUCAUUCCUAGGGACUCCAGAGGCAAGUCCAGGCUAAUAUGCUCUGGGAAAACAAUGUACAAUGUACAUGUUUGCCUUUUGACGUAGAUAAAUGAUACCUGGAUCCCAGGUCUGGCUCUGGGGCAGGGGAGCUUCAGGCCUGGCUAUGGCAGAACACUGAAGGAGGUACUUUGGGUUUUCACAACCUCUUAAAUCAUCUCAGAGAGAGAGUGAACAACUUACUUUCACAUGCACAAGCUGCCGCUGGCUCUGUCACAAGAAGAUGGACUACAAGUAAUAAAAUCAAGAUGAAGUUCUGUGUACAUCUUUCCAGCUUACAAGAAUUGUAGAAAGUUGAAGAUGAAAGGGAUAUUAAAGAGCAUCUCAUUCUACCUCCUCAUUUUGCAGCUGUAAGAACCGAGGCCCAGGGAGGGGGACUGGGGAAGCCACCAUCACACAGCUGCUCCGUGGCAGGAGUUGUGCUAACUUUCUGUGGCUGUUGCCAUUACACCCAGCAUCUUUUGACUUUUGAAAACAGCGAAGGAGAAAUCAGUCCUCCCAGCAUCUUCACCUCCCACGACGUUUAUUGUUUCCAGCUGUUAAAAAUUGGCCCUUUAAAAAUGGGUCGUCUUGCCAGUCAUUGAGGGUCACCGCGGUGGGGAGUGCUGAUUUAGAGGGCGGCAGAACAGGGAGGUGAUUGGAGGCAUAAUUGCCAGUCUCCUCCUUGGCACCUGGGGAUUUCUGUCAUUCAAGUCUCAGGGUGUGUGCCCUCAGCAAAUACUAACCCACAGAGUCAAUUGCUAACUGCAGUCAUCUGUGCAUUUGCCCUCUGGGGAUGGAAAGCCAUAAGAAAUGCCAUUUCCUAAUCUAGUUGGCCUUGGAUGAGAAGAUGUUUUUGCCUAAUGGAAGCCUUUGGAGAGUGAAUAAUGUGAAUAAUGUGUAUUUAGGACCUACAGUGCUCCCCAGGAUGCUGUAAGGGACCUGGUUAUAAAGAAAAAAACCUCACUGAUGGUCUUGGCUUUGUCCUUGUCUGAGUUAAGUCCUUUUGGUUGGAAGUAAUCAACUUGAGCUGACGUAAGCAUUAAGGGACAUAGAAGAGUAUAGCAGUAUCUCAUGAAGUCCAAGGGCAGAUGGCCUCAAGGUAGCCCGAGAAGCUGCUAGGAACCUAGACAGUCCACCUUCUCCAGCUUUCUUCUCUGCUUCGUGUCUCCCUCUGCAAUCCACUUUCUUCUCUGUGAGUAGCUGGGCAGAGGAUAAUCCCUCAACAACUAUCACAUCUACAUCUUCUCUCCUAAAGAGAUUAGCCAAAGGUGAGUGGCUGUCCUCAGUCCAAUACCAGAUUCCUGGGAGAGGGAAUUUGGUUGUCCCAGCCUGGGUCAGGUGCACAGCUUGAUCCAAUCAGGUGUGCCCAGGAGAGGGUGCCCUGAGACAGGCACAUCUGGGGACACUCAUCCUCAUGAAUGACCGGACAGUUCUCCAGGAAAGAAGAGAGAAGAGUGGAGGUCAGACAUUUCAAAUGUAUAUUAUAGGCAUCAAAUUAGUUACUGAUACAGAAAAAUGGCAAUGUCUAAGUAGGGGGCUUGAGAAACAGUUCAAACACUGUAUAGAUUUUGAUUAUUUGCUUAACUUCCAGGAUGAUAAAUUGUCUAUUAUGGAGCUGUAUUUUUUUUUUGGAGACAGAGUCUUGCUGUUUGGCUGGAGUGCAGUGGCGUGAUCUCGGCUCACCACAACCUCCACCUCCAGGUUCAAGCAAUUCUCCUGCCUCAGCCUCCCGAGUAGCUGGGAUUACAGGUGCCCACCACCAGCCCUGGCUAAUUUUUGUAUUUUUAGUAGAAACGGGGUUUCACCAUGUUGGCCAGGCUGGUCUAGAACUCCUGACCUCAAGUGAUCCGCCCUUCUCGGCCUCCCAAAGUGCCAGGGAGUGUACAGUGGAGUUUUCCAGAAGGCAUAUGCCAUGUGCAUCACCACAGCUUAAAUGCAGAAACAGACAUGAGGAUCUAGCUGUGUCCUACUAAGCCAGACAUUCAGGACAUCUAAAAGUGUAAAACAAUGCCACUCUUCUCACUAACUUUUUUGUUUUGGAAAAUAUAUCUUUCAUAAAAUAUUGAUUAUGUUGAUAUAUUACGGGUUUGUUGUUAUUAUUUUAAAUGAAUUAAUAAAUAAUUUUCUGAUUUAAUUUCUAUUACUGUAAAUAUUGAUGGAUAUAUCCUGUAUAAGCAAAAACUCUCUGGGGUUCUCAACUAUUUUUAAGAGUGUAAAGGGGUCAUUAGAGAACUGCUCAAGAAUGUUAGUAUUAUUUAAAGAGCUUCUGCACAGAAAAACUAUCAACAGAGUAAACAAACAAACUACAGAAUGGGAGAAAAUCUUCACAAGCUGUGCAUCUGACAGGGGCUAACAUCCAGACUCUAUAGGGAACUUAAACAUUUCAAUGAGUAAACAAUAAUUAACCCCAUUAAAAAGUGGGCAAAGGACAUGAACAGACACUUCUCAAAAGAAGACAUACAAGCAGCCAACAGACAUGAAAAAAUGUUCCACAUCACUACUCAGAGAAAUGCAAAUUUAAACCACAGGGAGAUACCAUCUCACUCUAGUCAGAAUGGCUAUUAUUAAAAAGUCAAAAAAAUAAUAACAGAUGCUGUUGAGGCUGUAGAGAAAAUGUAAUGCUUAUACAUUGUUGAUGGGAACAUAAAUUAGUCCAGCCACUGUGGAAAGCAGUUUGGAGAUGCCUCAGAGAACUUAGAACUACCAUUUGACCCAGCAGUCCCAUUACUUGGUACAUACCCAAAAGAAAACAAAUGUUUCCACCAAAAAGACGCGUGUGCUCAUAUGUUCACUGCAGCACUAUUCACAAUAGCAAAGACAUGGAAUCAAUCUAGGGGUCCAUCAGUGGUGGGUUAGAUAAAGACCAUGUGGUACACAUACACCAUGAAAUACUGCCCAGCCAUAAAAAAGAACGAAAUCAUGUCCUUUGCAGCAACAUGGAUGCAGCUGGAAGCUGUUAGCCCAAGUGAAUUAAUGCAGGAACAGAAAACCAAAUCCUGCAUUUUCUCACUUAUAAGUGUGAGCUAAACAUUGAGUACACGUGGACGUAAAGAUGGAAACAGCAGACACUGGAGACUACCAGAGGA